AAUGAACGCUGGCGGCAUGCCUAACACAUGCAAGUCGAACGAACCCACCAGGAGCUUGCUCCCCUGACGUUAGCGCCGGACGGAUGAGUAACACGUGGAUAACCUACCUCUACGACUGGGGUAACUACGGGGAACCGUAGCUACUACCCGAUGAUAUAUCGAACCGCAUGGUUCAAUAGUUAAAGACGGUUUUGCUGUCACUUAUAGACGACUCCGCGCCGGAUUCGCUAGUGGGUAAGGUCACUGCUUACCAAGGCUACGAUGCGUAGCCGACCUGAGAGGGUGAUCGGCCACACUGGAACUGAGACAGGGUCCAGACUCCUACGGGAGGCAGCAGUCGGGAAUCUUACGCAAUGGGCGAAAGCCUGACGUAGCAACACCGCGUGAGUGAUGAAGGUCUUCGGAUCGUAAAGCUCUGUUGUUAGGAAAGAACAAAAGCGUAUUUACCCAUGAUCGUCUUGACGGUACCGAAAGAAUAAGCCACGGCUAACUACGUG
This 497-nucleotide ribosomal RNA is filed under the name uncultured bacterium. Its description in RNAcentral is "partial 16S ribosomal RNA". It matches the Rfam family "Bacterial small subunit ribosomal RNA", at positions 29 to 507 of the family's 1533-position model. The record is from RNAcentral.